This 492-nucleotide ribosomal RNA is filed under the name uncultured bacterium. RNAcentral's name for it is "partial 16S ribosomal RNA". It matches the Rfam family "Bacterial small subunit ribosomal RNA", at positions 29 to 507 of the family's 1533-position model. The record is from RNAcentral.
AGUGAACGCUGGCGGUAGGCCUAACACAUGCAAGUCGAACGGCAGCACAGUAAGAGCUUGCUCUUCCGGUUGGCGAGUGGCGGACGGGUGAGGAAUACAUCGGAAUCUACUUUUUCGUGGGGGAUAACGUAGGGAAACUUACGCUAAUACCGCAUACGCCCUACGGGUGAAAGCAGGGGAUCUUCGGACCUUGCGCGAUUGAAUGAGCCGAUGUCGGAUUAGCUAGUUGGCGGGGUAAAGGCCCACCAAGGCGACGAUCCGUAGCUGGUCUGAGAGGAUGAUCAGCCACACUGGAACUGAGACACGGUCCAGACUCCUACGGGAGGCAGCAGUGGGGAAUAGUGGACAAAGGGCGCAAGCCUGAUCCAGCCAUACCGCGUGGGUGAAGAAGGCCUUCGGGUUGUAAAGCCCUUUUGUUGGGAAAGAAAAGCAGCAGGUUAAUACCCCGCUGUUCUGACGGUACCCAAAGAAUAAGCACCGGCUAACUUCGUG